This 486-nucleotide ribosomal RNA is filed under the name uncultured bacterium. RNAcentral describes it as "partial 16S ribosomal RNA". It matches the Rfam family "Bacterial small subunit ribosomal RNA", at positions 30 to 507 of the family's 1533-position model. The record is from RNAcentral.
AUUGAACGCUGGCGGCAUGCCUAACACAUGCAAGUCGAGCGGCAGCGCGGAGCUUUCUUCCCUUGAGCGCGGCGCACAGGUGAGUGUUGCCUAUGGAUAUACCUCCUGUAGUGGGAUAACGUCCGGCGACAGCCGCUAUUAUAGCAUACACGCUCUGCGAGAGAACGGGGGACCUUCGGGCCCUGCGCGCUCUGAUGUUCCUAGAGGGGGGAUUAGCUAGUUGGGGGGGUAAUGGCCCACCAAGGCGACGAUCAGUAUCUGGUCUGAGAGGACGAUCAGCCACACUGGAACUGAGACACGGUCCAGACUCCUACGGGAGGCAGCAGUGGGGAAUAUUGGACAAUGGGCGAAAGCCUGAUCCAGCCAUGCCGCGUGUGUGAAGAAGGUCUUCGGAUUGUAAAGCACUUUAAGUUGGGAGGAAGGGCAGUAAAUUAAUACUGUGCUGUGUUGACGGUACCGAAAGAAUAAGCACCGGCUAACUACGUG